GCCUUCAUGGUAUAGUGGUCAGAACGUUCGACGCGUACUCGAGAGUUCCGUGGUUCGAGUCCCGGCGAGGGCA
This is a non-coding RNA of Stegodyphus mimosarum, 73 nucleotides long. The record is from Rfam. NCBI's taxonomy places the organism in Eukaryota, Metazoa, Arthropoda, Arachnida, Araneae, Eresidae.